RNAcentral lists this ribosomal RNA (353 nucleotides) under Forcipomyia hygrophila. Its description in RNAcentral is "partial 16S ribosomal RNA". Lineage: Eukaryota; Metazoa; Arthropoda; Insecta; Diptera; Ceratopogonidae. The record is from RNAcentral.
AUAAUCAUUUGUCUCUUAAUUAGAGGCUUGUAUGAAUGGCUGAAUGAGAUAAAAACUGUCUUGUUUUAAUUGCAAAUUGAAUUUUAAUUUUUAGUAAAAAUGCUAAAAUAUUCAUAAAAGACGAGAAGACCCUAUAAAUCUUUAUUUUAAUAAAUUUAUAUAUUUAUUUAUAAAAAUUAAAAUUUUAUUUUAAUUAAAAUUUUAUUGGGGUGAUAAUGAAAUUUAUUUAACUUUCAUAUUUUUAUUAUAUAUAUUUAUAAGUUUAAUGAUCCAGUUUUAUUGAUUAUAAGUUUAAGUUACUUUAGGGAUAACAGCGUAAUAUUUUUAGAGAGUUCAUAUUAAUAAAAAUGAUU